Molecule: ribosomal RNA, 251 nt
Filed under: uncultured bacterium
Lineage: Bacteria
Description: partial 16S ribosomal RNA
Rfam family: Bacterial small subunit ribosomal RNA
Source: RNAcentral
UACGUAGGGGGCAAGCGUUGUCCGGAUUUAUUGGGCGUAAAGAGCGUGUAGGCGGCCUGACAGGUCUGCUGUGAAAACUCGAGGCUCAACCUCGAGAUGUCGGCGGAAACCGUCUGGCUAGAGUCCGGAAGAGGAGAGUGGAAUUCCUGGUGUAGCGGUGAAAUGCGCAGAUAUCAGGAAGAACACCUAUGGCGAAGGCAGUCUCUGGACGGUACUGACGCUGAGACGCGAAAGCGUGGGGAGCGAACAGG